AGCAGCGUGGCUCAGUGGAAAGAGCACGGGCUUGGGAGUCAGAGGUCAUGGGUUUGAAUCCCAGCUCUGCCG
This 72-nucleotide transfer RNA is filed under the name Ornithorhynchus anatinus (platypus). It matches the Rfam family "tRNA". From Rfam's summary of the family: Transfer RNA (tRNA) molecules are approximately 80 nucleotides in length. Their secondary structure includes four short double-helical elements and three loops (D, anti-codon, and T loops). Further hydrogen bonds mediate the characteristic L-shaped molecular structure. tRNAs have two regions of fundamental functional importance: the anti-codon, which is responsible for specific mRNA codon recognition, and the 3' end, to which the tRNAs corresponding amino acid is attached (by aminoacyl-tRNA synthetases). tRNAs cope with the degeneracy of the genetic code in two manners: having more than one tRNA (with a specific anti-codon) for a particular amino acid; and 'wobble' base-pairing, i.e. permitting non-standard base-pairing at the 3rd anti-codon position. The record is from Rfam by way of RNAcentral. Lineage: Eukaryota; Metazoa; Chordata; Mammalia; Monotremata; Ornithorhynchidae.